This 378-nucleotide unclassified non-coding RNA is filed under the name plant metagenome. RNAcentral describes it as "partial contains 5.8S ribosomal RNA, internal transcribed spacer 2, and large subunit ribosomal RNA". The stretch from base 1 to 105 matches the Rfam family "5.8S ribosomal RNA", at positions 50 to 154 of the family's 154-position model. The record is from RNAcentral.
GAAAUGCGAUAAGUAAUGUGAAUUGCAGAAUUCAGUGAAUCAUCGAAUCUUUGAACGCACCUUGCGCUCCUUGGUAUUCCUUGGAGCAUGCCUGUUUGAGUAUCAUGAAAUCUUCAAAGUAAAUCUUUUGUUAACUCAAUUGGUUUCUACUUUGGUAUUGGAGGUCUUUGCAGCUUCACACCUGCUCCUCUUUGUUCAUUAGCUGGAUCUCAGUGUUAUGCUUGGUUCCAUUCGGCGUGAUAAGUUAUCUAUCGCUGAGGACACUGUAAAAGGUGGCCAAGGUAAAUGCAGAUGAACCGCUUGUAAUAGUCCAUUGACUUGGACAAUACUUUUAUGAUCUGAUCUCAAAUCAGGUAGGACUACCCGCUGAACUUAAGC